GACGAACGCUGGCGGCGUGCUUAACACAUGCAAGUCGAACGGAAAGGCCCUGCUUUUGUGGGGUGCUCGAGUGGCGAACGGGUGAGUAACACGUGAGUAACCUGCCCUUGACUUUGGGAUAACUUCAGGAAACUGGGGCUAAUACCGGAUAGGAGCUCCUGCUGCAUGGUGGGGGUUGGAAGGUUUCGGCGGUUGGGGUUGGAGUCGCGGCUUAUGAGCUUGUUGGUGGGGUAGUGUCUUACCAAGGCUUUGCCGGGUAGCCGGCCUGGGAGGGUGACCGGGCACAGUGGGACGGAGGUACGGCCCGGACUGCUACGGGAGGCAGGAGUGGGGAAUAUUGCGCACUGGGCGGAAGCCGGGUGGAGCAACGCCGCGUGCGGGAUGACGGCCGUCGGGUUGUAACCCGCUUUCGCGUGUGACGAAGCGUGAGGGACGGUAAUGGGUAAAGAAGCACCGGCAAACUACGG
Molecule: ribosomal RNA, 467 nt
Filed under: uncultured bacterium
Lineage: Bacteria
Description: partial 16S ribosomal RNA
Rfam family: Bacterial small subunit ribosomal RNA
Source: RNAcentral